GACGAACGCUGGCGGCGUGCUUAACACAUGCAAGUCGAACGGAAAGGCCCUGCUUUUGUGGGGUGCUCGAGUGGCGAACGGGUGAGUAACACGUGAGUAACCUGCCCUUGACUUUGGGAUAACUUCAGGAAACUGGGGCUAAUACCGGAUAGGAGCUCCUGCUGCAUGGUGGGGGUUGGAAAGUUUCGGCGGUUGGGGAUGGACUCGCGGCUUAUCAGCUUGUUGGUGGGGUAGUGGCUUACCAAGGCUUUGACGGGUAGCCGGCCUGAGAGGGUGACCGGCCACAUUGCGACUGAGAUACGGCCCAGACUCCUACGGGAGGCAGCAGUGGGGAGUAUUGCACAAUGGGCGGAAGCCUGAUGCAGAGACGCCGCGGGCGGGAUGACGGCCUUCGGGUUGUAAACCGCUUUCGCCUGUGACGAAGCGUGAGUGACGGUAAUGGGUAAAGAAGCACCGGCUAACUACGUG
Molecule: ribosomal RNA, 468 nt
Filed under: uncultured bacterium
Lineage: Bacteria
Description: partial 16S ribosomal RNA
Rfam family: Bacterial small subunit ribosomal RNA
Source: RNAcentral